CGGACGGGUGAGUAAUGUCUGGGAAACUGCCUGAUGGAGGGGGGUAACUACUGGAAACGGUAGCUAAUACCGCAUAACGUCGCAAGACCAAAGAGGGGGACCUUCGGGCCUCUUGCCAUCGGAUGUGCCCAGAUGGGAUAGCUAGUAGGUGGGGUAAAGGCUCACCUAGGCGACGAUCCCUAGCUGGUCUGAGAGGAUGACCAGCCACACUGGAACUGAGACACGGUCCAG
RNAcentral lists this ribosomal RNA (231 nucleotides) under uncultured bacterium. RNAcentral describes it as "partial 16S ribosomal RNA". It matches the Rfam family "Bacterial small subunit ribosomal RNA", at positions 99 to 334 of the family's 1533-position model. The record is from RNAcentral.